Molecule: ribosomal RNA, 1034 nt
Filed under: uncultured bacterium
Lineage: Bacteria
Description: bacterial SSU rRNA
Rfam family: Bacterial small subunit ribosomal RNA
Source: RNAcentral
CCUACGGGAGGCAGCAGCCAGGAAUCUUGGGCAAUGGGCGCAAGCCUGACCCAGCAACACCGUGUGGGCGAUGAAGGCCUUCGGGUCGUAAAGCCCUGUUGAUAGGGACGAAGGGCGAAGGGUUAAUAGCCCCUAGCCUGACGGUACCUUUCGAGGAAGCCCCGGCUAACUACGUGCCAGCAGCCGCGGUAAUACGUAGGGGGCGAGCGUUGUCCGGAAUUAUUGGGCGUAAAGAGCGUGUAGGCGGUUCGGUAAGUCUGCCGUGAAAACCUGAGGCUCAACCUCGGGCGCGCGGUGGAUACUGCCGGGCUAGAGGACGGUAGAGGCGAGUGGAAUUCCCGGUGUAGCGGUGAAAUGCGCAGAUAUCGGGAGGAACACCAGUAGCGAAGGCGGCUCGCUGGGCCGUUCCUGACGCUGAGACGCGUAAGCUAGGGGAGCGAACAGGAUUAGAUACCCUGGUAGUCCUAGCCGUAAACGAUGGACACUAGGUGUGGGGGGAGUCGAAUCCCUCUGUGCCGCAGUUAACGCGUUAAGUGUCCCGCCUGGGGAGUACGGCCGCAAGGCUAAAACUCAAAAGAAUUGACGGGGGCCCGCACAAGCAGCGGAGCAUGUUCUUUAAUUCGAUGCAACGCGAAGAACCUUACCUGGACUUGACAUGGUGCUGCAAGCGCACGGAAACGUGUGACCUUCGAGGGUGCACCACAGAUGCUGCAUGGCUGUCGUCAGCUCGUGUCGUGAGAUGUUGGGUUAAGUCCUGCAACGAGCGCAACCCCUGUGGCGUGUUGCCAUCAUUUAGUUGGGGACUCACGCCAGACUGCCGGUGACAAACCGGAGGAGGUGGGGGAUGAGGUCAAGUCAUCAUGGCUCUUACGUCCAGGGCUAGAAACGUGCUACAAUGGCUGAUACAAAGGGUUGCAAGACCGCAAGGUGGAGCGAAUCUCAUCAAAGUCAGUCUAAGUUCGGAUCGCAGUCUGCAACUCGACUGCGUGAAGGCGGAGUUGCUAGUAAUCGCGGAUUCAGCAUGCCGCGGUGAU